GACGAACGCUGGCGGCGUGCUUAACACAUGCAAGUCGAACGGAAAGGCCUGCUUUUGUGGGGUGCUCGGGUGGCGAACGGGUGAGUAACACGUGAGUAACCUGCCCUUGACUUUGGGAUAACUUCAGGAAACUGGGGCUAAUACCGGAUAGGAGCUCCUGCUGCAUGGUGGGGGAUGGAAAGUUUCGGCGGUUGGGGAUGGACUCGCGGGUUAUCAGCUUGUUGGGGGGGUAGUGGCUUACCGAGGCUUUGACGGGUAGCCGGCCUGAGAGGGUGACCGGCCACAUUGGGACUGAGAUACGGCCCAGACUGCUACGGGAGGCAGCAGUGGGGAAUAUUGCACAAUGGGCGGAAGCCUGAUGCAGCAACGCCGCGUGCGGGAUGACGGCCUUCGGGUUGUAAACCGCUUUCGCCUGUGACGAAGCGUGAGUGACGGUAAUGGGUAAAGAAGCACCGGCUAACUACGUG
This 467-nucleotide ribosomal RNA is filed under the name uncultured bacterium. Its description in RNAcentral is "partial 16S ribosomal RNA". It matches the Rfam family "Bacterial small subunit ribosomal RNA", at positions 28 to 507 of the family's 1533-position model. The record is from RNAcentral.